UCGAAAGACAUUCAUUCAAGAGAUCCUAACGUGAUUAUCGUAAAUAGCUGGAAUUGUAGAUAUUUACAAUGACAUAGAUCAUUUUUCUUCGACGUAAUUACGGCCUAAUGUCGAGACAAGAAUAAUAUGACGCUGAUCUGUGUUUUGACAAGAAUAUGAAUGAUCUUAAGAAAAGGCUUCGCUGAAUCAAUUGGAAGACAGCGUCUUCAAUUGUCCUACUAAAUUCUUUACGGAUGACAUCUGGGUCUGGGGAGAUCAUGCAAAAAAAUAAGACAUCAUUUAUAACUUUCAACCUUCCGCUCACAGGACAAAUUCUCGAAGACGCUACGAAAAGAUGCUGAGCUUGAUCAUAAUUCUUCAGGCUCCCAAUUCAAGAAUACAAUUACUUAGCGUGGGUGCUUCUGCUCAGUCUUCGUUUCCUAUCUCCACAUACGAAUCACUCGCUUGUUACUAAUUCGAAUAAUUUACUGCUGUAAGGAGUCGUACCGCCAACUAAAUCUGAAUAACAAUUUGGCUGCUAGAAGUCAAAAAGUAGGCGCUGCAAUGAUUAUGUGGUAUGAUCAGAUUGUGUCGCAACAUUCAGCGGGGUUUUGACUCAAUGGGACCGCUGCUAAUAAAGUGUUUAACUAGCGAAUUUUGGAACACACCCGUUGACAAAAGUAUAAGGAGUCUCUUUCCGUGAGUUCCCCUCUUCCUCUCACUGCACUUCAACUAUGCCUUAUAGCAACCAAGAAGCUAGAAAAUGCCAACUAUUAAAAAGAUAACCUCUUUGGAAUUAAAUAAAACGGAGAUUAUCUUGGGAUCUAUUUCACAAAUUUACGGCUAAUUGGAAUGAACAGCGCCAAGUAGCACUGGACAAACUGCAGAGAGUAUUAGAACUUGCUUUAUUCCGUAUAUCGUACUUUAGGUCGUCAGUUUUACCACUUCGGUACGCAAAUGAAAAUAAAAAGCUCAUUCACAACUUAGACACAAUUUCGCCGUUUACAAGUAGCUGAAAAGUCCAUCUAUCGAAUUAUGAAUGAUACUAUUUUAAAUAUCGUCGUUACUGCACUCGUUUUCCACGUUCUUUUUAUCCACACAUCCGAUGUUUUAUUUACAGUUGAGCAUCUCAGGGCCAGCGACAAAUAUAAACAUAUUAUACUCAAAAUGAAGCUCGUUGAAAAGAGAAUAUUUCUUAACCUCUUUUACAGUGCUUUCAACACCUUUUCACCUGUGUGCCAUGUCAGAUUAAGGAUGCUCAACUUUUCGAAUUAUUAUUACAAAUUUCAAAGAAAUUACUAGUCCUUUUUGUCCCCUAAUGUAUCCCUCAUUUCAUACCGUCGUUUUGGGGUUCCAACUACGUAUAGCUUUCAAGUGUGGUUUUACGGUAAGAACAACCCCCCAUCGGUUGGUGCGGAAUACUUUCCUAUUCUCAUCGAGAGCCGAGCCAUACACCUAAGGUGGACAGAAAGCUAAAAUUCCAAAACAGAAAAAUCUAACAUCUUUGCUCCCUUACAAGUAGGAACGCUGGCGUAUCAACCCGUCUCCAGAUUUGCCCAGCAUUUCUGUAGAACACCCAAUGCGAAUGAAGACUAAUGAAUAUUGUAAAGACAAAAAAUAGGAAAAGUUUAAUUAGUGAUGGUUCUCACCACCCCAAAACGGUCACUUGCAUGCAUUGAGGACAUGCACCUGCAGUACUUGUUUUUCUCGAAUGUUUUUACCAUCUCUUUUUUCCUUAUCUGAGCUACUGACGCAGACGGACAUUGUUUCAUAUUUCGAAAGCUGUGCGGGAAAACGGACCCUAACACGAAUGUGAAUGCGCUAAUCAGUAUUUCCACCACAUGAAACCUGCUACUUUUUCAGUCCUCUUCGUAUGCAUUUCCCAAAAUUCAUUCGUAGCCUUGUCAACUUAGACUCAGUUCCACGGCGUGCAGGACGGGGUAUUAUGAAUAAAAGGAUCCACGGGUGAGAUUUGUUCUGUGUUUUAGGUAUGGAGUUUUGUACCACAAAACUUUAGGAAUACCGGAUUUUGUGCCUACGCCAGCCCCAGAGUAUGUUCUCACAGCUGUAAUUCCUAGUGAUCUUUUCCUGGCUCCAAUAGGAACGCCGGUAGGCAAAUUAAACUUUCGCGGCAGGAAAAAAAAGGCUUUUUCUUUUUUGCCUUUCAGUUUCUCGGAAUGUGGCAUUACAUAAGCAUAAUCCUUUUUGGGUGUGCCUGGAAAGUUCAAAUUAAGGUUUUUUUCUUCUGUUUUCUUGACAAGAAAAUGUCGCCCAAAGAGUUUCGGCCGUUAUUUUCCUAUCGAAGUGGGUCCUUUUUGUCUUUAGUCCUUCUCUGGGGCUAGCGAUCACUGCAAAAUUAGGCUUCACUGGUACGAGUUAACUUUUUUUCUUUUUUUUUGUCAUCCUUUUCUUUGGGGCUAAGAAUGGACUUCCCUUUUCUUUUUCUUUGUUGCAGCAGUGGCUUCAAAGAACUGCUGAUUGCUCAAGGCAAUCAGUCCGAGCGUUUAGAAGGUGAUUGUAGGCAGAAAUUAACUUUGCGGUAAAAGAAUGACAUUCUUUCUUAAAAGAAAAAUUAGCUUUUUUUUGUCAGGCAUUGCACAAACUUUUUUAUUUCUGCCUAUACUCUUAAACAGAUCAGUCAUUCAUGUUGUCUUUUUAACGGUCGUACUGGGACAUCGCAUGCCUUGGGAUUCCGUAAUUAGGUGCAACAAUACGGGCACAACUCAUUCUGCGCUAUCUUCACGGACUGAACUUCUAUUGCCUAUCGGUGGUGUGAUUAACAAUUGGAAGCGCAGAGCUUGGAAUGGAUUUCCAAUUCAAUGGAUUUGGAGGUAUUCGUUUGUUUACUAAUAUUUACUUUGAGGACAUUGCCCAACCCUAAAAGUGCCUGUUCCAGAAUAGAAUAACAUUAUGAUACGUUUUCUUGACCGCUGAGCAAUUUAAAGCAAUUAUUAGGGUACGAUUGUUUCUAGAGAAAUGUGGGUCAUCUUUUUAGGUCCAUUCUCUUCUGAUGAGGUAACCUUUACAAAAAUGUCAUAGAGUUACCAAUUGGGAUUCAAGGCAUCAUCGCAAUAUACUUCGUUCUCUUACGGAGAAAUUAAGCUCUUUCUACUUUGAAUUAACUGUUAGACUUGUCUUAUCUGAGGAAUGUCCGUGUUCAAAUUAAAUAAAAAUUUAGGGCAGUUUUAUUUACCUUAACAAAUAUGUUCAAGCAUGUACGU
Molecule: small RNA, 3200 nt
Filed under: Saccharomyces cerevisiae YJM248
Lineage: Eukaryota; Fungi; Ascomycota; Saccharomycetes; Saccharomycetales; Saccharomycetaceae
Description: ICR1
Source: RNAcentral